GUGGUUGUUUUGGCAGCACAUUUACUAAAAUUGGAUAUGGCACAGAGGAGAUUAGCAUGGCCCCUGUGCAAGGAUGACAUGCAAAUUUGUGAAAUGUUCCACAUUUUU
Castor canadensis (American beaver) is the source of this 108-nucleotide small nuclear RNA. The record is from Ensembl. Lineage: Eukaryota; Metazoa; Chordata; Mammalia; Rodentia; Castoridae.